UGUGAAUUGGCCUUAUAUUCCCUGCAUCCAGACCCUGUUUUCCUGCCUCACCACCAGGCCCCUCCUCCAACAGUGGGGAUUAUAAUUCGGCAUGAGAUUUGGGUGAAGACAAAGAGCCAAACAGUAUCAUAUGAUAUUGACAAUCUGUCUCUCUCUCUCUUUUUUUUUUUUUUUUUUGAGACAGGGAAUCACUCUCUGUCACCCAGUCUUGAGUGCAAUGGUAUGAUCACAGCUCACUGCAGCUUCGAGCUGCCGGACUCAAGCAAUCCUCCCAUCUCAGCCUCCUGAGCAGCAAGACUACAGGCAUGCACCACCACACCUGGCUAAAUAUUUAAUUUUUUAUAGAGACAAGACCUUGCUCUGUUGCCCAGGAUGGUCUCAAACUCCUAAGCUUAAGUGAUCCUACUGCCUUGGACUCCGAAGUACUAGGAUUACAGGUAUGUUGUUUUUAUUGAUCUUUUUAAUGAGGUAUUUCUACUCUUGGUAUUUGGAAAUGUAAAGCCUCUUAGUGCUAUAUGAGUUCUGGAAAUUUAUCAGCUCCCUAGCAGUUCUUUGCCUGACCACAGUUUCACCCUAUCAAUCCACAGCUUAGAAUUCAGCAGCAGACUUCAGGUGACCAUUAGGCAAAUUUCUGUAGCUCUUUUUUCUGCAUAGCUACGUCCUCACUGAGUGCUUUCCCACAUAAAUUGAAAAUCCUCACCCUCUGUGUUUUCUGAGUCUGGCUCCUCAGUGGACUCUGUGAAACUAUUACUUCUGCUUGGAUUCCCCUUCCUGUGAAUCAACCUUGAGAGGGCCUCCAGGUGGGAAGCUAAGAUGAUUUUAGGCCUCACCUGAUUUGUUCGCUUUCUCUCAAGAAUCACUGUCCUGUGCUGCCUGUUAACCAAUGUGUGAAAAAAGGCGUUUACGAUAUUUUGCCAGCAGGGGGUCAUGAUCAGGACCGAUUUAUCAAUUAGGAGAAACAGAAUUCCUUUACCUCAAGGCUCGCUCUAUCGCCUAUGGCCACCUUGCCCAGUCUUGCUGCAAGUAUAUUUCCCCUGUUGUCAGAAUCUGGCUACAGUUGUACAUGUUGAAUGGGACUCAGUUAGCAUUCUUCCUAACAGUGAUGCAUUCAAGGAAACAGCCUGGAUUUUGAAAGAGCAAUGGCAGUUGAAGUGAUUAAUUUUACCAGUCUUCCACUCUUGCUUAACAACGAUCUCAGAUACCUAGAAUCACAGAAUCAUAGGAUUGAAUAAACCCUCUAACCACCCAAAGCCUCCCUCAUAUCUCACCAUCCUAAUAUAGCGAUCUUCUGUAUCACAUCACUGUCCAAAAAUAAAUUGUAUUUUUCUUUUUCUCAGAAAUCAGUGAAGUAUCACUUUGGGGUACAUUACAAUAACUAACUCAUUUGCUUGUAGUUGCUGUUUAUUGGCAAUGCACAUUCUUGGGCUGUAUGUCCAAGGUGAAAUGAAUGAUCAUCAUUCAUCAAGGGUCUAACAUGUCUAGUGAAAUAGUCAUUGGCUAUCUAAUAGGAGAACUGUUCCACAGAUGGCUUAAUUACAAUGUAGAGGAGGGCAAUUGAUAAGAAUGAGGUCCUGAAGUAAGCUAGGCAAAGCAGAGGUUUUCAAAGCUGAACCUUAAAAACACCUGAGGAGUUUUAAAAAAUAGUUGCCCAGGUCUUAUUUCAAACAAAUUAAAUCAGAAUCUCUGGGGACGAGCCCCAGAUAUUUGCAUUUUUUAAGACUCUCAGGUUGUUUCAAAGGGCAACCUCAGUCAUGAGCUUACAUGAAUUGGAUGUUAAUGGCUGACCCAGUGUGCUCCCAUUAUGGAGUUCAAGCCAUGUGGAUUCUAACUACAUUCCCCAGCGAAGGAUUGAGCUCUGAAUUCAUGUGCCUAAAGGCCUUAGAGUCUCUUUUUGCACACCCAGCAGCCACAGGAAACCAUUUCAGGUAUGUGUGUGGGUAGUAAGGGCAAAUGUUAAAGAUGACUUUUGUCUGGCAAAACAAUUUUCGUAUUUUGUUACUAGGCCAGGCGUGGUGGCUCAUGCCUGUAAU
RNAcentral lists this long non-coding RNA (2030 nucleotides) under Homo sapiens (human). RNAcentral describes it as "HSALNT0081121". The record is from RNAcentral. Lineage: Eukaryota; Metazoa; Chordata; Mammalia; Primates; Hominidae.